GGGUAACCUGCCCUAUGCUGGGGAAUAACCUCGGGAAACUGAGAAUAAUGCCCCAUAGCCCACUACGCCUGGAACGGUGAGUGGGUCAAAGCUUCGGCGGCAUAGGAUGGGCCUGCGCCGUAUCAGGUUGUAGGGGGUGUAAAGUACCCUCUAGCCAUCAACGCGUACGGGUGUUGGGAGACAUUGCCCGGAGAUGGAUUCUGAGACACGAAUCCAGACCCUACGGGGUGCAGCAGGCGCGAAAACUUGGCAAUGCGAGCAAUCGUGACCAGGGAACCCCAAGUGCUUAGGGUAAGACCUAAGCUUUUCUUGACUCUUCAAAGGUCUUGGAAUAAGGGGUGGGUAAGGACGGUGCCAGCCGCCGCGGUAAUACCGGCGCCUCAAGUGGUAGUCGCUUUUAUUGGGCCUAAAACGUCCGUAGCCGGUCUGGUGCAUUCGUGGGUAAAUCAACCCGCUCAACGGGUUGAAUUCUGCGAGCACGGCCAGACUUGGGACCGGGAGAGGUGUGGGGUACUCUCAGGGUAGGGGUAAAAUCCUGUCAUCCUGAGAGGACCACCUGUUGCGAAGGCGCCACACUAGAACGGAUCCGACGGUCAGGGACGAAACCUAGGGGCACGAACCGGAUUAGAUACCCGGGUAGUCCUAGGUGUAAACGCUGUGGACUUGAUGUUGGGGGCGCUCCGAGCGCUUUCAGUGUCGAAGCGAAGGUGAUAAGUCCACUGCCUGGGGAGUACGGUCGCAAGGCUGAAACUU
Molecule: ribosomal RNA, 753 nt
Filed under: uncultured Candidatus Poseidoniales archaeon
Lineage: Archaea; Methanobacteriati; Thermoplasmatota; Candidatus Poseidoniia; Candidatus Poseidoniales
Description: bacterial SSU rRNA
Rfam family: Archaeal small subunit ribosomal RNA
Source: RNAcentral